This 99-nucleotide ribosomal RNA is filed under the name uncultured bacterium. Its description in RNAcentral is "partial 16S ribosomal RNA". It matches the Rfam family "Bacterial small subunit ribosomal RNA", at positions 1400 to 1500 of the family's 1533-position model. The record is from RNAcentral.
CACCAUGAGAGUUGGAGAUACCCGAAGCCUGUGAGCUAACUUUAGAGGCAGCAGUCGAAGGUAGAAUCAAUGAUUGGGGUGAAGUCGUAACAAGGUAAC